Molecule: ribosomal RNA, 482 nt
Filed under: uncultured bacterium
Lineage: Bacteria
Description: partial 16S ribosomal RNA
Rfam family: Bacterial small subunit ribosomal RNA
Source: RNAcentral
GACGAACGCUGGCGGCGUGCUUAACACAUGCAAGUCGAACGACGAAGCCCAGCUUGCUGGGUGGAUUAGUGGCGAACGGGUGAGUAACACGUGGGCAACCUGCCCCAAACUCUGGGAUAACUCCUCGAGAGAGGUGCUAAUACCGGAUACGAACUAGACAGACAUCUGUACUAGUUGGAAAGUUUUUCGGUUUGGGAUGGGCCCGCGGCCUAUCAGCUUGUUGGUGAGGUAACGGCUCACCAAGGCUACGACGGGUAACCGGCCUGAGAGGGCGACCGGUCACACUGGGACUGAGACACGGCCCAGACUCCUACGGGAGGCAGCAGUGGGGAAUAUUGCGCAAUGGGCGAAAGCCUGACGCAGCGACGCCGCGUGAGGGAUGAAGGUCUUCGGAUCGUAAACCUCUUUCAGUAGGGACGAAGCGAAAGUGACGGUACCUAAAGAAGAAGCACCGGCUAACUACGUGCCAGCAGCCGCAGUAA